AGUAAAUAGAUACCCAGGUAGUCCACGCCGUAAACGAUGAGUACUGGGUGUAGGAGGUAUCGACUCCUUCUGUGCCGCAGUUAAACACAAUAAGUACUCCGCCUGGGAAGUACGGUCGCAAGAUUAAAACUCAAAGGAAUUGACGGGGGCCCGCACAAGCAGCGGAGCAUGUGGUUUAAUUCGAAGCAACGCGAAGAACCUUACCUAGACUUGACAUCCCCUGAAUAACGUAGAGAUACGCGAAGCCCUUCGGGGCAGGGAGACAGGUGGUGCAUGGUUGUCGUCAGCUCGUGUCGUGAGAUGUUGGGUUAAGUCCCGCAACGAGCGCAACCCUUAUCAUUAGUUGCUACCAUUUAGUUGAGCACUCUAGUGAGACUGCCCGGGUUAACCGGGAGGAAGGCGGGGAUGACGUCAAAUCAUCAUGCCCCUUAUGUCUAGGGCUACACACGUGCUACAAUGGUGAGAACAACGAGAUGCAAUACCGCGAGGUGGAGCAAAACUUCAAAACUCAUCUCAGUUCGGAUUGUAGGCUGAAACUC
RNAcentral lists this ribosomal RNA (539 nucleotides) under uncultured bacterium. RNAcentral's name for it is "bacterial SSU rRNA". It matches the Rfam family "Bacterial small subunit ribosomal RNA", at positions 774 to 1313 of the family's 1533-position model. The record is from RNAcentral.